Non-coding RNA from Coturnix japonica (Japanese quail), 596 nucleotides. The record is from RefSeq and is a predicted model, not a curated record. Lineage: Eukaryota; Metazoa; Chordata; Aves; Galliformes; Phasianidae.
CCAAACACAUAGUCAAGAAACUCAUUUUUUUCAGAAGUCCUAAGAGCUGAGUUUCUUAUGAGAGUCUGGUCCACUCCAAGGAGAGAAACCUCAAUUUAUGAAAAAUAUUAUUACAACUGUCAUGCUGGCUGAUGUCUUCUGCAUUUACAAGAGAACAAUAGAAAAUCAAUUAUGCUGACAACCCCCCUUGUGGGGUGAAACUGUGAAGGCUUCCCCAACAGACAUAACAGAUGUUUCUUGAAGACUGAUUUCUGAAGAGACCGGGAUGAAACACGAGAGGACUGCGGGCUCUGCCAGCUGAGAAUAAAGAAAUAAAAAACAGUGCCAUCUUGUGUGCUGAAGCAGUACAUUAUCAGUGCUUAUGCUCAGUAUCUCACUGCUGAAAUGCCAUAAAGCUGAAGCUGCAGCUCAGGAUGGCUGUGUAGCACAAAGUAUCACCCCUUGGGAAAGCCAUUUUCAAGAAACAAGGUGUAUUUUCUGGAAACGUAUUCUCUGAAGUUAUGCCGUCUGCCCAGGCAGGCCUACAGUAUUCUGAAUGCUGCCAAGAGGAAAGAGGAAAAUCUUUGACACGAAGAAAAAAAUACAGGUAACUUCUU